UGGGGAAUAUUGCACAAUGGGGGAAACCCUGAUGCAGCGACGCCGCGUGAACGAAGAAGGUAUUCGUAUCGUAAAGUUCUGUCCUAUGGGAAGAUAAUGACAGUACCAUAGAAGAAAGCUCCGGCUAAAUACGUGCCAGCAGCCGCGGUAAUACGUAUGGAGCGAGCGUUGUCCGGAAUUAUUGGGCGUAAAGGGUACGCAGGCGGUUUAAUAAGUCGAAUGUUAAAGAUCGGGGCUCAACCCCGUAAAGCAUUGGAAACUGAUAAACUUGAGUAGUGGAGAGGAAAGUGGAAUUCCUAGUGUAGUGGUGAAAUACGUAGAUAUUAGGAGGAAUACCAGUAGCGAAGGCGACUUUCUGGACACAAACUGACGCUGAGGUACGAAAGCGUGGGGUGCAAACAGG
RNAcentral lists this ribosomal RNA (403 nucleotides) under bacterium. Its description in RNAcentral is "partial 16S ribosomal RNA". It matches the Rfam family "Bacterial small subunit ribosomal RNA", at positions 355 to 776 of the family's 1533-position model. The record is from RNAcentral.